CGGAGGAUCCAAGCGUUAUCCGGAAUCAUUGGGUUUAAAGGGUCCGUAGGCGGUUCUAUAAGUCAGUGGUGAAAUCUGGUCGCUCAACGAUCAAACGGCCAUUGAUUACUGUAAGACUUGAAUUACUUGGAAGUAACUAGAAUAUGUAGUGUAGCGGUGAAAUGCUUAGAGAUUACAUGGAAUACCAAUUGCGAAGGCAGGUUACUACAAGUAUAUUGACGCUGAUGGACGAAAGCGUGGGGAGCGAACAGGAUUAGAUACCCUGGUAGUCCACGCCGUAAACGAUGGAUACUAGCUGUUUGGAGCAAUCUGAGUGGCUAAGCGAAAGUGAUAAGUAUCCCACCUGGGGAGUACGCUCGCAAGAGUG
RNAcentral lists this ribosomal RNA (367 nucleotides) under uncultured organism. RNAcentral's name for it is "bacterial SSU rRNA". It matches the Rfam family "Bacterial small subunit ribosomal RNA", at positions 526 to 896 of the family's 1533-position model. The record is from RNAcentral.